RNAcentral lists this long non-coding RNA (4495 nucleotides) under Sus scrofa (pig). RNAcentral describes it as "lncRNA (ENSSSCG00015044708.1)". The record is from RNAcentral. Lineage: Eukaryota; Metazoa; Chordata; Mammalia; Artiodactyla; Suidae.
UGGGUUUAAUUUGCUCUUCAUUUUCUAGUUUCUUAAGGUAGUUUCUUAAAUUUCAAAGGUCUUUUUUUCUCUUUUGUUGUUGCUGUUUCGGAGAGUAAAUCUAGUUUGUGUAUCCCAUCAUGCAUGAAAACAGAAGUCAGAUUUAGUUAAUGGUAAUUAGCUCUUCAUCAAAGUUUUAUUGAUCAUAGAACCUAGAUCUUUCCUUCUGUGUGUUGUUUAGGUCUCCAGAUUCCAGAUCUGCCAUUUGAUACCAGUAUUGUCAACUAGGCAUCAGACCAGUAAAUUGGGGUUUUUUGCUUGUUUUUCAUUUGUUUCUCCGGACAAAAUUAGAAUUAAUGGUUGUUUUUCACUGAAAAACCUCUCCUUUUUAUAUAUUAUGGCCUUUCUUUGUAUUUUGUGAUCUUAGAGCUCAAAGUAUUUCUGAGGAUUGAGGAAAAUAACAGCAUGCUUGAUAAUUCAAGUGAAUAAAUUAUGUUUUUUAAAUUCCAAGGAUCUAAUGACACUCUAGGGUUUAUCCACAUGUACUCUGGGGAAUAAGCCAUGGAUUCCAUAGCUUAAUGGAAUAACAAGUGAUGGUAUCUAGGGUUCUGAGUACCCAGUUUCAGCUGAACUCUGAAAUGUGGACUAUUCUCUUGGGAUAGCCUUAGAACUCAGAGGAAACCAAGAGGAUGGAUGGAUCCUGCUAAAUCUAAAGCUGGAGUCUGUGAUGCAUUUAAGAUACAUCCAGGGCAGGAGUUCCUGUCUUGGCUCAGAGGUAAAGAACCUGACUAGUAUCCAUGAGGACACAGUUUCGAUCCCUGGCCUCACUCAGUGGGUUAUGCAAGGAUCCGGCUUUGCCAUGAGCUGUGGUGGAGGUCACAGACACAGCUCAGAUCCGCGUUUCUGUGGCUGUGGGGUAGGCCACCAGCUGCAGCUCCAAUUUGACCCCUAGUCUGGGAACUUCCAUAUGCCACGGGUACAGCCCUAAAAAACAAACAAGAUGUAUCCAAAAAUUCUGCAAUAUUCUCCCCUACAAGACUCUCCCUUCCAUUGAGUGUUGGCUGGACUUCGUGAAUUGCUUCUAACAAACUGAAUAUGACAUAAUUGACAAGUCCAUUCAAGAUUAGGCCAUAAAAGACUUUGCAAUUGCAGUUUCUAAGUUAGUCUCUUUCAGAUCGCUCAUUCUGGGGGGAAACCAGCUACCAUGUUAUGGGGAAAGAUCCACUCAACAAGGACCUGAGCCAGCAGCCGUGUGAGUGAGAUAUCUUGGAAGCAGAUCCUCAGCUCCAUUUAAGGCUUCAAAUGACAUCUCAACGGUAGCAUCAUAAGAGAUGCCAAGCCAGAUUCGCCCUGCUAAGCUGUUCCAGAAUUCUGACCUUUAGAAACUGGCUUAAAUAAUAAAUGUUGCUUUAACCGCUAAUUUUAAGGUGAUAUGUUAUGCAGCAAUAGACAGCUAAUACAGAUUCAUCGUGAAAUUGUUUCUGAGACUUGAGAUAAAUAAGAGUGGAUUUCUAGAACUCAGAUGGUACCAAGGUAAACUUCUUAGCAAGACUCUCUAAGGAGCUCUCAGAAUAUUGAUGGAAAAGCUAUGACAGGUUUGGAGGGUCCAGGGACAACGGGGGAAAGACACUUCAGUGAUGCAGAGUUCUUUGAUAAGUGAUUCUGUAGUUCUAGGGAAGUGCUGGAGUUUUUUUUUUUAUUUUAAAUAGUGAUAAAAGAGCUACACAGAUUUUAGAGAGUUUAAGAGAUAAAAAGCAAAGAUUCUGGAGCUCAAAAGAUGGAGAACUCUUUUUCGGUGUGAUGAAAAACAGGAGUUUUUUUCCACUUUCUCAUCUUUAACAUUAUCAUAUUCAGAAACUGUAGAAAUUUAGAUAAACAAAAAGAAGAAAAUUAAAAUUACCAUAUGGAAACAAUCUGUUAACAUUUUUAGUUUGUUAAUCUAACAAAUUAAUAAAUAUAGACACGCAGAUAAACAAACUUAAUCUGUACUUCAAUUGGCCCUUUAGGAGGUCAUUUUGGCAUUCUUUGAGCCUGGCUGCAUCUGAAUGAUGUGUCAUGUGAUAUGACCAGUGGAAUCCACGGUCAUAGGUUCAUACCUGCACCUUUGCCCUAAAGUAAAUCACCUGAACAGGUAUCAUGCUGUUUGGGACCCUAUGCCUCUGGCUCAAGCAUUUCAAAAGCCUCUAGAUUCUGGUCCUGGCUGAAGCUCUAUUAGUAGGAAAGGAAAAUUCAUUCCUGGAUUAGGUAUUCUCUUUGUAAGAGGGACCCACUAGCGCUUUAAGAAUAGGAGCGUUCCAAUGUCCGGGGUGAUUUCUUUGAGGAAUAAUAUUACAUUGGAGGCAUAGUGUUGGUCUCUGUUGCUGACGCAUUAGACAUUCAGAGGCACUGGUAACUAGAUUGUUAAACAUGAGCUCGUGCUGAUAGCACCAUAUGUAGCCUCCACCUGCCACAUGACUAUUCCAUUGAUGUGGCCAUCAUAUCACUCUGGGAUUGCUGCUGGUGAUGUCUGAUCCACAUCAACUGCUUGAGCCAGUUUGUCUACAGGUUGUUUAGCGUCUGGUGCCUGCUUUCUGAUGGUAUUGACAUGUGAUACAAAAAUCUCCACACUCGUGGAGUUCUCUUGAGGUUCAGUGGGUUAAUGGUCUGGUGUUGUCACUGCAGCAGCUUGGUCGCUGCUGUGGUGCAGUUUUGAUCUCUGGCCAGGGAACUUCUGCAUGCUGUAGGUGCAGCUAAGCCCCCCACUCCCACCCCCCAAAACCCAAACAAACAGAUCUUCACACUUGUCCUCCUCCCGCAUUUUUAUAACAGUCUUCUGCCCAGAACUCUUUGUCUCUGGUUUUCCAUGUUUCUCCUUCCAGGCCUCCAACAAAACAGCCAAGUCAUUGCCCACAACUCACGAAUCUAUACGUAUUCUUGUUUCAGGCCAUUUCUCCUUCCAUCAGAGAGAUAACCAGGUACUCUGUUCCCAGCUCUGUCAUUUGGGAAGAUAUGCCUUCUCCACUGUCUUCCUGGACCAACUCUGAAUGUGGCUAUAAUGCAGCCAACCAUUUCUAGCCUGUAUAUACUCAAUGAGUUGACCCAUCUAUAAACCAGUCUUGGGCUUUUCACUCAGCUUUACCUGUUCAUCUGGAACCCUUCACUAGGCCAUGGGUACAAGCCAUGGGAGGAGAACUGGUGUAACAUGAGGGUCUGAGACAUUUGCUCAUACUGCUUAUUUGUGCCCUCUGAUCCUGCCUGAACUUGAGUCUGGAUAUUCUAUUUCCAUCUUACAGAGGAUUGCUACUAAGCAAUCUUUAAAAAAAAAUUUUUUUUGCCUUUUCUAGGGCUGCACCCGUGGCAUAUGGAGGUUCCCAGGCUAUGGGUCAAGUCAGAGCUGUAGCCGCCGGCCUACGCCACAGCCACAGAACGUGGGAUCUGAGCCACAUCUCUGACCUACACCACAGCUCAUGGCAACGCCAGAUCCUUAACCCACUGAGCAAGGCCAGGGAUCGAACCCACAACCUCAUGGUUCCUAGUUGGAUUCGUUAACCACUGAGCCAUGAUGGGAACUCCCCCAUCCAGCGCUUUGACUUGGUGUAAUUGACAGAACAUAGCUUUGAGGGGAAAUUCUAGAUGCAUAAGUCCUUUGACGUUCCAUAGUCAAGCAUUCUGCCUUUCCAAAGUAACUUGCCCUCUGCAACUUGCCAAGAACUGUUUUGCAAAUGAUAUGUAAUUCUCUGCUGUGGAUAGCAUGACCUUUCUCCAAAAUCUCAGGGGCCAACCAUGUGAUUCUCCUGCUGGGGUUUUCCAAAGGCCCUUACUGCAUUUUUUUGAUACCACUACCACCUCCAACACCAUAGGGCCUGCUGGAUCAUAUGACCCAUGUGGCAGGGCUGAUGGUGCCACAGUUUGGGCCUGCUGGAGUAUAUUCUUCUGCUCUGAGCCCCCUCAAAACUGACAUCCCUCCAUGCCAUCCAACAUUUGGGCAGGAGCAAUAUGUUGCCUCCAGAACCCAAAGAGACUUCCAGUCUCUAUGCUUCCAUCUUCAUGGUGAUGGUGAAAGAUGUUACAAUUUGUAUUUCACUUUGAAGGGAUUGUUCUGGUAGCCCUUUACCACUGGACUCCUAAAAACGGAAUUGACUGGUCUCUGAAUCUUCGUGGAAUUUCUCUCCCAACUCUGGAAUGCGUGUGUCUCACCAAGGCACCCGGCUACCUCCGCCUGACCACAAGACACCCAAUACGCAGUGAGUUGCCCAUUUUAACUGGCAGUGGUCUGAGCCACAAAACUGUGAAUUUGGUGAGCCAAGCAUUCCAUCACCAAGGAGAAAUGGCAUGUUCGAUAUCAGACUGGGGGUUCCUGUUGUGGCUCAGGGGAUAACAAACCUGACUAGUAUCCAUGAGGACGCAGGUUCAAUCCCUGGCUUUGUUCAGUGGGUUAAGGAUCUUGCGUUGCCACAAGCUGCAGCAUAGGUCACAGAUGUGGCUCAGAUCUGGUGUUGCUGUGGCUGUGGCUCUGGUGUAGGCAGGCAGCUCUGGC